RNAcentral lists this ribosomal RNA (503 nucleotides) under uncultured bacterium. RNAcentral describes it as "partial 16S ribosomal RNA". It matches the Rfam family "Bacterial small subunit ribosomal RNA", at positions 899 to 1397 of the family's 1533-position model. The record is from RNAcentral.
ACUCAAAGGAAUAGACGGGGGCUCACACAAGCGGUGGAGCAUGUUGCUUAAUUCGAGGCAACGCGAAGAACCUUACCUGGGUUUGACAUGGUCGGAUUAACUCCGUGAAAGCGGAGCCAGGCCCGCAAGGGUACAACGAUCACAGGUGCUGCAUGGCUGUCGUCAGCUCGUGCUGUGAAGUGUCAGGUUAAGUCCUUUAACGAGCGCAACCCCUAUCGUUAGUUGCUCGGCGCAAGCCAGUACUCUAGCGAGACUGCCGGUGUCAAACCGGAGGAAGGUGGGGAUGACGUCAAGUCCUCAUGGCCCUUACAUCCAGGGUUGCAAACGUGCUACAAUGGCGUUGACAAAGCGAAGCGAGAUCGCGAGAUGGAGCAAAUCGCAAAAACAACGCCCCAGUUCGGAUUGCAGGCUGCAACUCGCCUGCAUGAAGUCGGAAUCGCUAGUAAUCGCGGAUCAGCUACGCCGCGGUGAAUGUGUUCCUGAGCCUUGUACACACCGCCCGU